GCACUUGCGCUUGAGCUCAGACGUGAUUACCCGCUGAUCUUGCCAUAUCAUUUAGCGCAGGAAAAUAACAAACUAAGAUCCCUAAUUCGCCCCCGCGAGAAAUAAAAAA
RNAcentral lists this ribosomal RNA (109 nucleotides) under Heterorhabditis sp. EPNKU24. Its description in RNAcentral is "partial 28S ribosomal RNA". Lineage: Eukaryota; Metazoa; Nematoda; Chromadorea; Rhabditida; Heterorhabditidae. The record is from RNAcentral.